This 880-nucleotide ribosomal RNA is filed under the name Parastagonospora allouniseptata. RNAcentral describes it as "eukaryotic LSU rRNA". It matches the Rfam family "Eukaryotic large subunit ribosomal RNA", at positions 36 to 937 of the family's 3401-position model. Lineage: Eukaryota; Fungi; Ascomycota; Dothideomycetes; Pleosporales; Phaeosphaeriaceae. The record is from RNAcentral.
AAGCAUAUCAAUAAGCGGAGGAAAAGAAACCAACAGGGAUUGCCCUAGUAACGGCGAGUGAAGCGGCAACAGCUCAAAUUUGAAAUCUGGCUCUUUCAGAGUCCGAGUUGUAAUUUGCAGAGGGCGCUUUGGCGUUGGCAGCGGUCCAAGUUCUUUGGAACAGGACGUCACAGAGGGUGAGAAUCCCGUACGUGGUCGCUAGCCUUCGCCGUGUAAAGCCCCUUCGACGAGUCGAGUUGUUUGGGAAUGCAGCUCUAAAUGGGAGGUAAAUUUCUUCUAAAGCUAAAUACUGGCCAGAGACCGAUAGCGCACAAGUAGAGUGAUCGAAAGAUGAAAAGCACUUUGGAAAGAGAGUCAAAUAGCACGUGAAAUUGUUGAAAGGGAAGCGCUUGCAGCCAGACUUGCCUGUAGUUGCUUAUCCGGACUUUUGUCCGGUGCACUCUUCUGCGGGCAGGCCAGCAUCAGUUUGGGCGGUUGGAUAAAGGUCUCUGUCAUGUACCUCCUUUCGGGGAGGCCUUAUAGGGGAGACGACAUGCAACCAGCCUGGACUGAGGUCCGCGCAUCUGCUAGGAUGCUGGCGUAAUGGCUGUAAGCGGCCCGUCUUGAAACACGGACCAAGGAGUCUAACAUCUAUGCGAGUGUUUGGGUGUCAAGCCCAGACGCGUAAUGAAAGUGAACGGAGGUGGGAACCUUUUAGGUGCACCAUCGACCGAUCCUGAUGUCUUCGGAAGGAUUUGAGUAAGAGCAUAGCUGUUGGGACCCGAAAGAUGGUGAAMUAUGCUUGAAUAGGGUGAAGCCAGAGGAAACUCUGGUSSAAACAMACAGCGGUUCUGACGUGCAAAUCGAUCGUCAAAUUUGGCAUAGGGCGAAAGACUAAUCG